AUACGGAGGGUGCAAGCGUUGUUCGGAAUUACUGGGCGUAAAGCGCGCGUAGGCGGUUUGUUAAGUCAGAUGUGAAAGCCCCGGGCUUAACCUGGGACGUGCAUUUGAAACUGUCAGACUUGAGUAUUGGAGGGGGUGGUGGAAUUCCCGGUGUAGAGGUGAAAUUCGUAGAUAUCGGGAGGAACACCGGUGGCGAAGGCGGCUACCUGGACCGAUACUGACGCUGAGACGCGAAAGCGUGGGGAGC
This 247-nucleotide ribosomal RNA is filed under the name uncultured bacterium. RNAcentral describes it as "partial 16S ribosomal RNA". It matches the Rfam family "Bacterial small subunit ribosomal RNA", at positions 523 to 769 of the family's 1533-position model. The record is from RNAcentral.